Molecule: ribosomal RNA, 436 nt
Filed under: uncultured bacterium
Lineage: Bacteria
Description: bacterial SSU rRNA
Rfam family: Bacterial small subunit ribosomal RNA
Source: RNAcentral
AACGAACGCUGGCGGCAUGCUUUACACAUGCAAGUCGAACGGUAACAGGCCGCAAGGUGCUGACGAGUGGCGAACGGGUGAGUAAUGCAUCGGAACGUGCCCAGUCGUGGGGGAUAACGCAGCGAAAGCUGCGCUAAUACCGCAUACGAUCUAUGGAUGAAAGCGGGGGACCGUAAGGCCUCGCGCGAUUGGAGCGGCCGAUGUCAGAUUAGGUAGUUGGUGGGGUAAAGGCUCACCAAGCCAACGAUCUGUAGCUGGUCUGAGAGGACGACCAGCCACACUGGGACUGAGACACGGCCCAGACUCCUACGGGAGGCAGCAGUGGGGAAUUUUGGACAAUGGGCGCAAGCCUGAUCCAGCAAUGCCGCGUGCAGGAAGAAGGCCUUCGGGUUGUAACUGCUUUGUACGGUAACGAAAAGGACUCUGGUUAAUACCU